RNAcentral lists this ribosomal RNA (363 nucleotides) under grassland soil bacterium TSA-9. RNAcentral's name for it is "bacterial SSU rRNA". It matches the Rfam family "Bacterial small subunit ribosomal RNA", at positions 104 to 481 of the family's 1533-position model. The record is from RNAcentral.
GGGUGAGUAACACGUGGGCAAUCUGCCCUUCACUCUGGGACAAGCCCUGGAAACGGGGUCUAAUACCGGAUAACACUCUGUCCCGCAUGGGUACGGGGUUAAAAGCUCCGGCGGUGAAGGAUGAGCCCGCGGCCUAUCAGCUUGUUGGUGGGGUGAUGGCCUACCAAGGCGACGACGGGUAGCCGGCCUGAGAGGGCGACCGGCCACACUGGGACUGAGACACGGCCCAGACUCCUACGGGAGGCAGCAGUGGGGAAUAUUGCACAAUGGGCGAAAGCCUGAUGCAGCGACGCCGCGUGAGGGAUGACGGCCUGCGGGGUGUAAACUCUUUCAGCAGGGAAGAAGCGAGAGUGACGGUACCUG